UGGCUCAGUUGGUAGAGCAUGGCACUUGAAAUGCUAGGGUUGUGGGUUCAAUUCCCAC
Molecule: transfer RNA, 58 nt
Filed under: Salmo salar (Atlantic salmon)
Lineage: Eukaryota; Metazoa; Chordata; Actinopteri; Salmoniformes; Salmonidae
Rfam family: tRNA
About the family: Transfer RNA (tRNA) molecules are approximately 80 nucleotides in length. Their secondary structure includes four short double-helical elements and three loops (D, anti-codon, and T loops).
Source: Rfam by way of RNAcentral